Molecule: ribosomal RNA, 253 nt
Filed under: uncultured bacterium
Lineage: Bacteria
Description: partial 16S ribosomal RNA
Rfam family: Bacterial small subunit ribosomal RNA
Source: RNAcentral
UACAGGGGGUGCAAACGUUGCUCGGAAUCAUUGGGCGUAAAGCGCACGUAGGCGGUUCGUUAUGUCGGAUGUGAAAGCCCUUGGCUUAACCGAGGAAGUGCAUCCGAAACUGGCGAGCUAGAGUACUAAAGAGGAUCGCGGAAUUCCCGGUGUAGAGGUGAAAUUCGUAGAUAUCGGGAGGAACACCGGUGGCGAAGGCGGCGAUCUGGGUAGAUACUGACGCUGAGGUGCGAAAGCUGGGGGAGCAAACCGG